This 22-nucleotide non-coding RNA is filed under the name Arabidopsis thaliana (thale cress). Lineage: Eukaryota; Viridiplantae; Streptophyta; Magnoliopsida; Brassicales; Brassicaceae. The record is from RNAcentral.
GGCCAAUCCAAUUAUCAUGCCA